GGGUAACCUGCCCAUCAGAAGGGGAUAACACUUGGAAACAGGUGCUAAUACCGUAUAACACUAUUUUCCGCAUGGAAGAAAGUUGAAAGGCGCUUUUGCGUCACUGAUGGAUGGACCCGCGGUGCAUUAGCUAGUUGGUGAGGUAACGGCUCACCAAGGCAACGAUGCAUAGCCGACCUGAGAGGGUGAUCGGCCACACUGGGACUGAGACACGGCCCAGACUCCUACGGGAGGCAGCAGUAGGGAAUCUUCGGCAAUGGACGAAAGUCUGACCGAGCAACGCCGCGUGAGUGAAGAAGGUUUUCGGAUCGUAAAACUCUGUUGUUAGAGAAGAACAAGGAUGAGAGUAGAACGUUCAUCCCUUGACGGUAUCUAACCAGAAAGCCACGGCUGACUACGUGCCAGCAGCCGCGGUAAUACGUAGGUGGCAAGCGUUGUCCGGAUUUAUUGGGCGUAAAGCGAGCGCAGGCGGUUUCUUAAGUCUGAUGUGAAAGCCCCCGGCUCAACCGGGGAGGGUCAUUGGAAACUGGGAGACUUGAGUGCAGAAGAGGAGAGUGGAAUUCCAUGU
This 568-nucleotide ribosomal RNA is filed under the name uncultured bacterium. RNAcentral describes it as "bacterial SSU rRNA". It matches the Rfam family "Bacterial small subunit ribosomal RNA", at positions 119 to 674 of the family's 1533-position model. The record is from RNAcentral.